RNAcentral lists this long non-coding RNA (827 nucleotides) under Carassius auratus (goldfish). RNAcentral describes it as "lncRNA (ENSCARG00000022586.1)". Lineage: Eukaryota; Metazoa; Chordata; Actinopteri; Cypriniformes; Cyprinidae. The record is from RNAcentral.
ACACAGAGCAGGAUGAAACUUAUCACUGACAACUACGAGGAUGACCAUUACCACCCUCAUGCUCCACCUCCCCACAUGCAACCUCAACCAAUUCAUCCUCAACCCCAACCCCAACCGCCUUACCCACAUCCCCAACACCCCCACCAGCCUCCUUACCCACACGCGCCCCAUCCCCAACACCCACAGCCUCCACCCCACCACCCUCAACACCCGCAGCAGCCGCCCCAGCCUCAAUAUCCCCACCCACAACACCCUCAACACCCACAACACCCUCAACACCCUCAACACCCCCAACACCCGCAACCGCCCGGCCCACACCAGCACCCACCUAGACCCCAGCCACCCCAUCCUCAACACCCUCAUCCUGGGGUCCCUCCGCAGCAGCAUCCCCACGGCCCUCCGCCUCAGCAGAGCCCCCACCCUCAGCCCAUGCCACACCAACAGCAGCACCCCCAUCACCCCCCGCACCCCGGCCCACAGGGCCCACACCCUCGGCACCCUCCACCACACCAUCGGGGUCCAGGCCGUGGACCCCCGCAUCCCGGACACCGACCCGCUCCAGACCAGGAUGAUGAAGAAGGAAUUUGGGCAUAACUAUUUCCAAACCAAAGCUAUGAUGUUGUUUUUUUUCGGGACAAUUCAGUCACUAAAGGAGCAGCACAGCCAUGCCAUACAGAUGAAAUUCUACAUUGUUCACUUGGCCAGUCUUUACCUGCAAUCAGAUUCAUUCUUUUGGAUGGGGCCCUAUUUUUUUCCAUGCAUUAAGGAAAGAGGCGGAGCAUUAGUUUGAGUGGGAGGGUCAAAGUUGGAGAUGGCCACCUGAGCAG